Molecule: unclassified non-coding RNA, 240 nt
Filed under: Hevea brasiliensis (rubber tree)
Lineage: Eukaryota; Viridiplantae; Streptophyta; Magnoliopsida; Malpighiales; Euphorbiaceae
Source: RNAcentral
GCUAUUGGAUUUUUAUACCCUUAUCAUCCUCAAUAUUAUGAGGUAUACAUGUCGUGAUUUCUGGAAAAUUGAUUCAGGGCAGGUGUCUCAUACCAAUUUAGAUCUUCCUCGGUAAAGCUGNNNNNNNGAGUUGCAUGUAUAAUGAUUUUGACACUGAAGUAUACAAAUGAGAUUUUAAUAGAGUCGUGCACUAGACUUGUACUUAAAAUAAUCCUAUAAUUGCCAUCAACACGAUAUGGC